CAUGGGAGAGGGGAACCUUUUACUACCAUGGCGUAAACGAGGAGGGGUUAUUUGAGAAAUAAGUUGACAAGAGUCACCUUUGAAAAAAAAAUUGCAAGCGACUUUCUUUCUAAACACCUUGAUGUAUUCCGGCCUGCAAACGCAGGUUUUACUCCCAACACAGAUGGAGACCUCUGGUUUACUGAAGAGGCAGGUCUCUGCUGAGUUUCAUGGAAAGACAUGGUUCUCCGUCUCUUGCCUCCUCCCGUUGCCUGGAUGCUUGGGUUCCAUUUUGAUCAGAUAUGCCCUGCGACUUCAGCCCAUUUGUUUCCCCUUGGAGGAGCCAGACAAGAUUCUCGUUUAUUCACUUGUAAUCAGCUACUGCCAUCGCAAAGAGUCACACAGAGCGCAUGAAGAAAAUGAGGCUUUGACAGACUACAUAAGGAAGCUGAUUCAACAGCUCAUAAAUUACAGAGCUGAAGUUCUAACUGGUUCCUACAUACCUUCUACCAAAACAUAAGCUGGAGGUGUUAAGUAUAUAAUUUAACCAAUGUUUUAGAAAUAAAAGAGUAAGCAAGUGAUUGAAAAUUAUUAAGAACAAUUUGGUUCUGGGUCAACUAAAGAAGAUACUUUUUGACCUAAUCUUUCUACAGCUGGAAACUUUAAUUGAAGGAUUAAAGAUUUGCACAGUAGAAGGUGUGCUUAUGGCAGAUAAUCUGAAAUAGAAGUUUUG
RNAcentral lists this long non-coding RNA (712 nucleotides) under Mustela putorius furo (domestic ferret). RNAcentral describes it as "lncRNA (ENSMPUG00000024120.1)". The record is from RNAcentral. Lineage: Eukaryota; Metazoa; Chordata; Mammalia; Carnivora; Mustelidae.